AUGUUUCAAUUGAAUCUCUUUUUCUGCAGUUUGAAUCCAUUGCUCCAUGGUGUUCUAAUCUUUAGAGCAGAAAACAAGCUUGGCCCCUUCUCAAUGUUACAUCCUUUCAAAUAUUUUAACAUAGCUAUUAUGUCCCCUCUCAACCUUCUCUUCUCUAAGUUAAACAUCCCCAUUUCCAUAAGCCACUCCUCAAUGUUACAUCCUUUCAAAUAUUUUAACAUAGCUAUUAUGUCCCCUCUCAACCUUCUCUUCUCUAAGUUAAACAUCCCCAUUUCCAUAAGCCACUCCUCAUUGAGCAGUGGUUCCCAGCCUGUGGUCCGUGGACCAGCAGUAGUCCCCAAGAACUAAAAUAUGGUAUGCAGCCUCACCGUUACUACACCAUUGCAAUGACAGUGACUGGUCUUGCAAAACCCUCUUAUAGUGCCGAGGCAACGGGAAUGUAAGGAGGGGAGUGUGAUGUCUCAUGGGCCUUGUAGUCCCGUUCCUAGUACUAUUGUGGCAGACGAAGAGGAAAACAUGGGAUUUACACCGUUUCAGCCAGAAACGGAGCCCUUGCACCUGGAGGAUGUUUGCCCUCAAGAAGUCAGCCAAACAAGCCUUGGGCAGAAUUCUCCCCCGUUUUCUCGUAAAAAUAAUUAUAAUAAAGAUAGAGGCGCUAGGGAGGCGAAUCGCCGAAGCGCCAGAAUCGCAGCCAAACAAUUAGCUGAUUAGGUCUGCUUCCCUUGGGAAAUUCUAAGGAGUUUUGCAUCUGGACUAAGUUGAGUUUCACUUCUAGUUCUCCAGGGAAAGUGUUCUUCUGGCGGGAAACGAGACCCUAUUUAGGUGUUUGCCGCAAAGGAAACUUUGCGGAGUCAAUUCGACAGCUGGAGGAGUGAGAUCGUGUGUAGACUUCGUACUCCAGUUCCCUGUUUCCCGGAUCAAGUUUCCAGCCUUGCCUUGUCCCGCGUUUACCACGGACCUUGUUUUUGCUCUUGUUGCCUUGUUUCGAGUCUUGUUCUAGCCAAGUAUCAAGUUUGCUUCCAGCCUAUUUGCCAAGUUUCUAUGGACUUAAGGACCUUGUCUUCUCCCCACACUUUGCUUGGCAAAGUGUGUGUUUCGGUUAUUGGAUUAUAACUUUGGACUUUAAUAUCACAUAUUGGACAUUAUUUUCCUGGACUAUAUUUGACCUUUCCUGAAAGGUCUACUUCUGAACUAUAUUCUACACUUGUUUUUAUUGACUUUAUAUAUUUUCUUAAUAAAGAUAUUAGAUAGAUUCUGGUCUCUGCGCAUGGUUAUUGGUGCUCUGCAGCCAGGGUCCUGACAGGGAGAAGCUGACUACCCACGAAAGGCAGGCGCAACAACAAGCCUCCUGACUGCUGCUUCUCCUCCUCCUUCCCCCAUUCCAUGUGGUGCCUGGAAGCGGGGGUGCCUUGGGGUCUUCGUUUUGAGACCCGUUCCUGGGAUUAUUUGGGGUGCUGAUUCAGAACAUUGCAUUGGAUAGACCACAUCAACUCUGGAUUAUUAAAUAUGGUUUUCUAUGGGCGAGCAGAUGGUGACUAUUGGAUGGCAUAUGUUCUGUAUCAGAAACUAGAGCUGAUGUGGUCUAUCCAAUGCAGUUUUCUGAACCAGCACCCCAAAUAACCAAACUGAAUCUAAAGUUGACCAAAAACUGAUUUGUAACCCUUUUGGUACUAAUGUUGGCGAAUGGUCCCCAGUUCAAAUGGUCCCUGGUCAACAAAGGUUGGGAACCACUUUCAUAGAGCUUAGCUUCCAGACCUUGCAUCAUUUUAGCCACCAUUCUUGGUUGUUAAUUAUUUUGAAUUGUUGGGUUUCUACUGGAAGAUCAAUAUCAAAUUCCCUGAAUGGGCACAGAGCUUAAAUUUUUUUUUGAAUCGAAUCAGAAAAGGAACAGAUGCAGAUUUUUGACUCAAAAGAAAUGAAGAGACACAAACAAAUGGAAGAAAGGUAUCUGCAGUGGAAUAACUCUAUCACUGGACAAUGGGAUGCAAAGAACACGGAGCAAUAGAUUCAAAUUGCAGGAAAAGAGAUUCCACUGAAACAUUGGAAGAACUUACUGAGAGCAAGAGCUGCUCAACCAUGGAAUAGGCUGCCUGCGGGUCUAAUGGCAUCUCCUUCUCUGGAGGUUUUUAAGCAGGGGCUAAGUGGCCAUCUCUCAGGAAUGUUUUGAUUGCAUUUUCUGCCAUGGCAGAUAUUGGACUGGAUGGCC
RNAcentral lists this long non-coding RNA (2206 nucleotides) under Anolis carolinensis (green anole). RNAcentral describes it as "lncRNA (ENSACAG00000035997.1)". Lineage: Eukaryota; Metazoa; Chordata; Lepidosauria; Squamata; Anolidae. The record is from RNAcentral.